Molecule: ribosomal RNA, 466 nt
Filed under: uncultured bacterium
Lineage: Bacteria
Description: partial 16S ribosomal RNA
Rfam family: Bacterial small subunit ribosomal RNA
Source: RNAcentral
GACGAACGCUGGCGGCGUGCUUAACACAUGCAAGUCGAACGGAAAGGCCCUACUUUCAGGGUACUCUAGUGUCGAACGGGUGUGUAACACGUGGGUGAUCUCCCCUUCACUUCCUGAUAAGCUUGGUGAACUGGGUCUAAUACCGUAUAUGAGCCAUCUUUAGUGUUGUGCUUGUACAGUUUUUUCGUUGUAGGAUGAGCUCGCGCGCUAUCAGCUUGUUUGUGGGUUAAUGUCCUACCAAGCCGGCGACGGGUAGACGGCCUGUGAGGGUGUACGGCCACACUGGGACUGAGAGACGGCGCAGAGUCCCACGGGAGGGAGAAGUGGGGAAUAUUGUACAAUGGGCGCAAGACUGAGGUAGAGAGGCGGCGUGGGAGAUGAAGGCCUUUGCGUUGUAAAAUCCUUUCGCUAGGGACAAAGAGCUUUUGUGACGGUACCUAGAGAAGAAGCACCGGCUAACUACGUG